GGACGAACGCUGGCGGCGUGCCUAAUACAUGCAAGUCGAACGAGCUCUCCCAAAUUGAUUUUAUGCUUGCAUAAAUGAUUUUUGGAUUCGGAGCGAGUGGCGAACUGGUGAGUAACACGUGGGUAACCUACCCCGAAGCGGGGGAUAACAUUUGGAAACAAGUGCUAAUACCGCAUAAUUAGUUGGAACCGCAUGGUUCCAACUUGAAAGAUGGCUCUGCUAUCACUUUGGGAUGGACCCGCGCCGUAUUAGUUAGUUGGUGAGAUAAAAGCCCACCAAGACGAUGAUACGUAGCCGACCUGAGAGGGUAAUCGGCCACAUUGGGACUGAGACACGGCCCAGACUCCUACGGGAGGCAGCAGUAGGGAAUCUUCCACAAUGGACGAAAGUCUGAUGGAGCAACGCCGCGUGAGUGAUGAAGGUUUUCGGAUCGUAAAACUCUGUUGUUAAAGAAGAACAAGUGUUAGAGUAACUGUUAACACUUUGACGGUAUUUAACCAGAAAGCCACGGCUAACUACGUGCCAGCAGCCGCGGUAAUACGUAGGUGGCAAGCGUUGUCCGGAUUUAUUGGGCGUAAAGCGAGCGCAGGCGGUUUUGUAAGUCUGCUGUGAAAGCCCUCAGCUCAACUGAGGAAGUGCAGUGGAAACUACAAAACUUGAGUACAGAAGAGGAAAGUGGAACUCCAUGUGUAGCGGUGAAAUGCGUAGAUAUAUGGAAGAACACCAGUGGCGAAGGGCGGCUUUCUGGUCUGUUACUGACGCUGAGGCUCGAAAGCAUGGGUAGCGAACAGGAUUAGAUACCCUGGUAGUCCAUGCCGUAAACGAUGAAUACUAGGUGUUGGAGGGUUUCCGCCCUUCAGUGCCGCAGCUAACGCAUUAAGUAUUCCGCCUGGGGAGUACGACCGCAAGGUUGAAACUCAAAGGAAUUGACGGGGGCCCGCACAAGUGGUGGAGCAUGUGGUUUAAUUCGAUGCUACGCGAAGAACCUUACCAGCUCUUGACAUCUUCUGCCAACCCAAGAGAUUGGGCGUUCCCUUCGGGGACAGAAUGACAGGUGGUGCAUGGUUGUCGUCAGCUCGUGUCGUGAGAUGUUGGGUUAAGUCCCGCAACGAGCGCAACCCUUAUUAUUAGUUGCCAGCAUUUAGUUGGGCACUCUAGUGAGACUGCCGGUGAUAAACCGGAGGAAGGUGGGGACGACGUCAAAUCAUCAUGCCCCUUAUGAGCUGGGCUACACACGUGCUACAAUGGAUGGUACAACGAGUCGCGAAACCGCGAGGUCAAGCUAAUCUCUUAAAGCCAUUCUCAGUUCGGAUUGCAGGCUGCAACUCGCCUGCAUGAAGUUGGAAUCACUAGUAAUCGUGGAUCAGCAUGCCACGGUGAAUACGUUCCCGGGCCUUGUACACAC
This 1405-nucleotide ribosomal RNA is filed under the name uncultured Bacilli bacterium. RNAcentral's name for it is "bacterial SSU rRNA". It matches the Rfam family "Bacterial small subunit ribosomal RNA", at positions 27 to 1390 of the family's 1533-position model. Lineage: Bacteria; Bacillati; Bacillota; Bacilli. The record is from RNAcentral.